UCUGGAUCACUACUUUACUUACUGUUAUUACGCACAGAGGUCUGGAUCACUACUUUACUUACUGUUAUUAUGCACAGAGGUCUGGAUCACUACUUUACUUACUGUUAUUACGCACAGAGGUCUGGAUCACUACUUUACUUACUGUUAUUACGCACAGAGGUCUGGAUCACUACUUUACUUACUGUUACGUACAGAGGUCUGGAUCACUACUUUACUUACUGUUACGCACAGAGGUCUGGAUCACUACUUUACUUACUGUUAUGCACAGAGGUCUGGAUCACUACUUUACUAACU
Molecule: long non-coding RNA, 294 nt
Organism: Sebastes umbrosus (honeycomb rockfish)
Lineage: Eukaryota; Metazoa; Chordata; Actinopteri; Perciformes; Sebastidae
Exons: 3
Source: RefSeq, a predicted model, not a curated record